UCGCCGAGCUGGCCGGGCGGCGCGUGGACCGGCUCUCCGGGGGCCAGACGCAGCGGGUGCGGUUCGCGGUCGCGCUCGUCGGG
RNAcentral lists this transfer RNA (83 nucleotides) under Streptomyces umbrinus. Its description in RNAcentral is "tRNA-Arg". Lineage: Bacteria; Bacillati; Actinomycetota; Actinomycetes; Kitasatosporales; Streptomycetaceae. The record is from RNAcentral.